GGGACACUAGGACCGGCCGGAGUUGAAGGGGAGACUCCCGUCAGCUCACGGACUAGUUAAUGUUAACAGGACUCACCCGUUGGUAGCUCCGUCGCCUCCCGCCCGCCCGCGCUCGAUCCCACAAUCUGCCUCCAGGGAAAUAUCUACAAGGAUGCACAAGGAGACAUUUACAUGAUGCUCACUGUUUGUUGGAAACUGUCUCUCACUGGAAACAGACUACUCUACAGCCGUUACAAUGAAUGAAUUACAGUUACACUUAUCAACAUGGAGAAAUCUCAAGAACAUAACGUUGAGUGAAGACAAGUUGAAAUGAAUACAUACAACAUUGUGCUAUUUGUCACUACACGCUAAACAAUAUGAUGCAUGAUUUGUGGGUAUUUGUAUGUGUUAUAAAAACACAAAUAUAGACUGCAGCUUUA
Erinaceus europaeus (western European hedgehog) is the source of this 419-nucleotide long non-coding RNA. RefSeq lists it as uncharacterized. The transcript is spliced from 2 exons. NCBI's taxonomy places the organism in Eukaryota, Metazoa, Chordata, Mammalia, Eulipotyphla, Erinaceidae. The record is from RefSeq and is a predicted model, not a curated record.